UGGAAAUGAAAGGCUGGAUAUUUUCAAGAUAGCAUAUGCUCAUAAUAAUUAUAUACUGUACAGGCAUUGAAUGAUUUUAUUCUGGCCGUUGUGGUUGCGCUGCCGUACUAUAUCGUAAGGUCGCUAUUGUCAAAGGCUGGACGGUAAUAAAAACGAGUAAAAGUUCCGGACCAUACAGCCAUUUUGAUGUCUUCCUUCAAGGACAACAUGCCCUACAGCUUUG
Paramuricea clavata is the source of this 223-nucleotide non-coding RNA. The record is from the annotation of a GenBank genome assembly. Lineage: Eukaryota; Metazoa; Cnidaria; Anthozoa; Malacalcyonacea; Plexauridae.